This 350-nucleotide long non-coding RNA is filed under the name Felis catus (domestic cat). RNAcentral describes it as "lncRNA (ENSFCAG00000050916.1)". The record is from RNAcentral. Lineage: Eukaryota; Metazoa; Chordata; Mammalia; Carnivora; Felidae.
AUGCCAGUUUACCCCAGGAAUGGCAAUUUGUGUCUUCUUACUCUCUAUGCCUCCCCUCAUGGCUCCCCAUCUAAAGAGGCCAUAGCGCCCAGCUAUGAAGUGCUCAGAGACCCAAGUUCCAACUCCAGUGAGGCUCUUGUCUUACACCAUCACAGCACCACAUGCAUGAAGGAGCCAAAACCUUUCUGGGGAUUUGCCCUCAAGCUGGAAGCUGGUGGAUCUCGGAGCCGAAUGUCCUUAUUUGUUGAGCAGAAGAGCAGAAAUGCACUGUGAAACUUCAGUGAAUUGUGACCUGUGUUGUGAGUUGAAGGCAGGUCGGGGAACUGUAACAUUCCAUUAGGAAGUGGCAC